AUACGUAGGGGGCGAGCGUUGUCCGGAAUGAUUGGGCGUAAAGGGCGCGUAGGCGGCCUGUUAAGUCUGGAGUGAAAGUCCUGUUUUCAAGAUGGGAAUUGCUUUGGAUACUGAUGGGCUUGAGUGCAGGAGAGGUUAUCGGAAUUCCCGGUGUAGCGGUGAAAUGCGUAGAGAGCGGGAGGAACACCAGUGGCGAAGGCGGGUAACUGGACUGCAACUGACGCUGAGGCGCGAAAGUGUGGGGAGCAAACAGGAUUAGAUACCCUGGUAGUCCACACUGUAAACGAUGAAUGCUAGGUGUAAGAGGUAUCGACCCCUUUUGUGCCGGAGUUAACACAAUAAGCAUUCCGCCUGGGGAGUACGGCCGCAAGGUUGAAACUCAAAGGAAUUGACGGGG
This 397-nucleotide ribosomal RNA is filed under the name uncultured bacterium. RNAcentral describes it as "partial 16S ribosomal RNA". It matches the Rfam family "Bacterial small subunit ribosomal RNA", at positions 523 to 918 of the family's 1533-position model. The record is from RNAcentral.